Small nucleolar RNA from Tupaia belangeri (northern tree shrew), 148 nucleotides. The record is from Ensembl. Lineage: Eukaryota; Metazoa; Chordata; Mammalia; Scandentia; Tupaiidae.
CCUUCUUUUCUUGGUGGUCCAAGUGUAUGGUCCUGCUCCCAGUUUUGCACUUAGGCAAAGGGAAAGGGGCUCCGGCCUCCUCAGCAUCACAUCUUCAGAGCUGGCAAUUUCCUGUUCACUGAUUUUAUCCUCAAGUUGUGGUAAAGCA